RNAcentral lists this long non-coding RNA (268 nucleotides) under Phoenix dactylifera (date palm). RNAcentral describes it as "long non-coding RNA (PDAC_LNC019012)". The record is from RNAcentral. Lineage: Eukaryota; Viridiplantae; Streptophyta; Magnoliopsida; Arecales; Arecaceae.
CUUUUUGACAACAUCAAAAAGAUAGUGAAACAUUAAGCACAAAGAUAAGAAUACUCAAAUAUUUCUUUUCCUUAUUGUACUCUGAUUUGCAUGUCAAAUUAUUGCAAGGAUAUGAAUCAUAUAACUCAAGGCAAUAAUAUUGGAAUCAGAUUAAUGAGCACAGAUCAGAGCCAAUUAAGAUAAUUUCAGAACAGAACACAUUAAAUGUGAUUUCAAAAAGUUUUCUAAUUUGAUACCAUAGAUAGUUUUCUAAUCAAGUGUAGGUGGA